Molecule: ribosomal RNA, 253 nt
Filed under: uncultured bacterium
Lineage: Bacteria
Description: partial 16S ribosomal RNA
Rfam family: Bacterial small subunit ribosomal RNA
Source: RNAcentral
UACGGAGGGUGCAAGCGUUAUCCGGAUUCACUGGGUUUAAAGGGUGCGUAGGUGGGCUUGUAAGUCAGUGGUGAAAUCCCCGAGCUUAACUUGGGAACUGCCAUUGAUACUAUAAGUCUUGAAUAUUGUGGAGGUCAGCGGAAUAUGUCAUGUAGCGGUGAAAUGCUUAGAUAUGACAUAGAACACCAAUUGCGAAGGCAGCUGGCUACGCAUAUAUUGACACUGAGGCACGAAAGCGUGGGGAUCAAACAGG